ACUCAGCAGUGCCUGCGGUUGCAAAUACGGUUCCUGUUUCAUCCUGAUUCACCUCCCCCGCUCCCCCAGUCUGUGAGGAUGAAAUGACCCACAAAACCGUGGAGCCCCGAAGAAAGGAAAAGACGUCAUCAGGAGGUGUUUCCAGAAUUCAGCCUGACAACACCUGGCACGCCUGGUGAAGCUCUGGGAGGAGCCGACGCGUCCGAGCGGGUACAAAUAGACCCCCCGAUCACCACCCUCUCCUCAGAGUUCACCGACGCCUGAAGCCGACGGCUCCGACCCCGGCCAGGCCACCUCCUCCAUCAUGAAGCUUUCGCUUGUCAUUGGGCUGGCCAUCCUGGCUGCUUCCUGCAGUAAGGGAAGUGCCGCAGUCUGCCCAGCGCUUCUGAAAGAGUUAAAUAUUUAUUUCUACGGUUCAGAGGACACUUUCCGAAAUGACCUCGAGGGAUUCAAUGCAACCGAGGACAUGAUUCAGGCCAAACUUACUGAGAAGAAGUGUACCGAUCAGUUAUCCUUAAAUGAACGGCUUUUGAUUUCAAAAUUCAUGGGGAACAUUAUAACUUUUGCUUGCUGAUAGUAGCUCCCUUAGACUUCAAGAUCCCGUUAUGUCCUCUGAGCUGCUAAUUCCCAAUUGCCGCCUAUCAACCACCUCUCUCUGACUGCAAAACUAUUCAUCUUCCGACUGAUUAGCUCCGAGAUCACCUCCAGCCUUCACAUCUUGGAGGCAAUCCUUGUAGAACUAAGGUACAGAAACCUCCCGAGAUGCUUGUAGCCUGCUUCGAUGUCUCCUUUCAAUAAAUGGAAUGCAAUACAAUCCUUUCCUUGCUUUGGUCAUUCUCUGGAAGGAGCCCUGGAGGGUCGUUUGGAACUAAGGGAGGAAUUAAUCCAUCAGCCAUUUAUCCAGUGAUAUUUACGGAGCUCUUACUGUGUGCAGAGCACUGUACUGAGUGCUUGAGUGAGUACAAUACCA
Molecule: long non-coding RNA, 970 nt
Filed under: Ornithorhynchus anatinus (platypus)
Lineage: Eukaryota; Metazoa; Chordata; Mammalia; Monotremata; Ornithorhynchidae
Description: lncRNA (ENSOANG00000040485.1)
Source: RNAcentral